CAGAAAGCCCGAAGCGGUACUCGAUCCCAGGACCCCGGGAUCAUGACCUGAGCAGAGGGCAGGGACCCAACCGACCGAGCCCCGCCGGCGUCCCGCGAGUGAAUCUCUUACUGCCGGGGAAGGUUGCAGUACAGAAUGUGCUCUCCUGAUCACGAGGGCCCCCGAGCUCUAGUCCUGCCACCUGCUGAAGGCCUCUGCCCCUCGACGAAGGAAGGAACACCCGCUGGGAGUGUUGGGACGGAUGCUGGUGUCCUGGAGGCAGUGUGACCUGAUCGGCAGGGCUUCAGACUGGAUUUAGAAGAAGAGGGAGACGGACGCCCAGACAGACCUGGGAAGCCAGUUGCUGUGGAGGGAAGAUCUACACGGGUUCGGUUCCAGUCUGCCAAAUCGAGAACGUCAUCGCCUUCUUGGGGGACAUGGGAACCCAUCAAGAUCUGAAUGCAGAAGCGGAGGGUGUAGGAACACAUCUGCAGAAGGCUGAAGGGCACCUUUUCCUGGGUGCUCCCACUCAGGUGGGUUUGUGGAGUGCCCCAUCUCAGAACUGCUGGUCUGUGCCUGAGGUCACACGCUAUAAAGACAGACAGACAAACAGCGCUCGGGUCAAGAAAUCCUCUUGACUUGUCAGAACUCGGAGGAAUGCAUCUCGCUGUCCCCUGGGUUUACGCUGUAUCUCAGAUAUUCACGAGAUGCAAAUUACGUGACCUGCCUGUUUGCACACGAGGUCUCUGCCAGGCUUCGGGGCAGAUCUGACACAAGCAUCCCAUAAUUACAGGAGAGCUCUGGGGACUGGCUCCAAUUAACCACGCUGCUUCUCGGUUAUCAUUAUAUUAUCCGUAUUUAUAGCAUUUGACAUUCUUGCAGCGCUCUUUAAUCCUACUGCAUGUGGGUUGCCUACAUCUAAAUCUUUCAACAUACUUGGGAUACCAGAUGUUCCUGUUCUCUGGCUCUUCCGGAUGGAGAAACAGAGCAUGGACCAGUGCUCUAAGGACAGCACCUGUGAGUUGCAUUCCCAGGUCACCUGGGCAACUUUGUGGAGGUUAAGCACUUGGAUCAAGGCAAAGGUCUGUUGGGCAAGGUUGUGUGGGCUAAUGGGACACUGAGACUCUAGCCUCAUGGCAGAAACUACUUUCUUAGCUCAAAGUUCUGAGGACUGGACUUGCCCAACCAGAGCACUGGAACAUCUGGAACCUGCAGUCAUGGCACCCACCAGCACAUCAAGCCAAGAGCAGUCCCAAGGCUUCCCCUCUCCUUUAGGCUGAGCUAGCUCUGGUGUCUUUGGUCCUUCGUCUCCUGGGUCUAAGAGCUCUCCGGUUCGUCCUGCGCCUCCCACAUCUCCCGACUGGACAGUGGAGCUCGGGGCAGGGAAGGGAGGGUUGCUGCGACUGAAACAAGAAUGUAGGAUCCCCCCAUCCUACCCCCUGCGGAUCCCCCCCCCCCAAGACUGAGCACGGACCGUGACUGCAGAGAGUCGGACAGACCUGUGUUCAUGAACGGAUACGGUGACCACUCUGCCCGGCAGCAGCCCCACGGAGGUACUGGUGGGGUUCCAGCAGCUCUUGGAGUCAUGUGCAGUUCAACGGCGUGUGCAUACAAGAUGUUCUCCGCCCAGCUGUCCCCCGAAUCUAUGGCAGGAUCUGUAGGGAAGGGACACCCCCCACCCUUCCCUAUCCGCCUAGAGAGCACAACUGCCCGUCUCAAAUCUCCCGAGAUUUCCUUUUUCCAUUGCAACGCGUCCAUCGCAUCCCCAGGUCUGCCGAUCCGGCAAUUACUUGCAUGCGGGGCUGGAUCUGUUAGAAAUGUUUUCGGGCACGGACUAUGGAACCAACCUAAUGUUAAAUCAUGCCCUGUUUUUGUUUUUGUUUUUCCCCUUCUGGUGGACGUGAUGCCUAGGUUUUGCUUUUUUAAAUUAGAUGAGUAAUUUCAAAGAUGAAGAACCUGUCCCGAGAUGUCCUCGUGAAGCUCGGGGUUUGAUCAAGCUCGGCAGGCUGGUUCGGUCAACGUCAUGACUCAGCCAGGUUCCGUCUCGAGGACUGGCUUGCUGGAGCCUCAGCCGGGUCCUCACGGCUGCUCAGCCCGCGGUCACACACUGUCACACUCCAGGGCGAUGCUCCGGGCCUCAGCAAUCCGUGUCAGCCCUUCCAGCCUUGUCCCCUGCUUGUCCUCCAGGCAGAGAACCACGCGUGCGGCUCGAGAACCCGCUGGAGAACCCUCCAGCUUCCCCACUCGCCCCCUUCCAGUCUUCACCUUCCCGCUCUCAUUUACAUCCGACCUUGCGGGCGUCCUGGGGUCUCCGGUCAAAGCUGGUCCUCUCUUCGUGCUGUUGAUUCUCUCCUGUCCUGCCUCUCCUCUCGCUCUGUCAGCCUCCCCUCCGGUAUCUUCCGUGUUUCCUGUGUCCCACCUCCCUGCCUGCAGAAAGACCAAGUCUCCUCCGCCUCAGAAAAGAAGCCCCCUUCCCCCAAACACAAAACAGAGUGCUGCGUCUCUCUACCGCUCACCAUCGGUGGUUCGAAACCACAUCCGACCCCCGGGUGUGAGCGAGGCAGAGUUCCACCGGAAUUCAUGAUCACUCAGAACCUCAGAACGUGACCUGACUCGGAAAGAGAGCCUUGGAAGAAUUAAUUAGUUAAGAAUCUCCAGAUCUAAUCAUCACGGACUUAAGGUUAGGUCAACGGCGGCUCUGACUCUCGUACCUCCUGUCGUUUCUGUGGCAAUGGCCUUCCUCGUCCCUGUCCGACCCCUCCUUCCCGCUGCGGCUCCUGGAACACUUCUAAAACACAGGCUACUUCUCUGAUGGAAAGUCCCUGACGGCUGCCCACUGCCUGGCCCGGCCAUUCUCUAAUUCUUCCACAACUCCGCCCCAAUACGGAUGAUCUCGUUUUCUGUUAUACCUCUGAACCCCACCCGCGCGCCCCCAGAGCUGCUUCCCAACCUUUGUGCCGUUGUUGUCCCCCUCCCCAAAUCUUUUUAGACAUUUUUCCCUCUGAUUAUUGCACCCAGGAAACUUUAAUAGCACAAGCACACGUUUAUCAUGUUGUGGGCCCCUUUGGAAAGCCGCAAACCACUGGGAUGUCUAAAGUUGUUUUGUCCCCCAAAGCCAGUUUUCACAUCCUUGGAGGUGAGAUCCCUCCGUGUCCAGGACAGAGAAUGCAAGAGCAAGGGGCGAAUCCGAACCAGAGUCGGAUUUCUUCUCUGAGACGCCUGCCGUGUGCCUACUGAGAAGUUGUUCAAACCCCCGGUUCGGAGAUCCCCGCGCAGGCAGAGCGCCCUUCCUGGCGUCCACCUCACCCACCAUCUGUCCAUUCCCGUCUCCCUCCCCUUCACGGGCCGGUGCCAGGAGCACUGCCCGGUCCACCUCCUACAGGCUUAUCUCUGGCUCAGAGACGCAGUCUGCUUCCUGGGGACGCCGAGCAGACAAUGUCCCAUUUACUGCCUGGCACCGGGGUGGGGCUCCACGGGUGGGGAUUCUCUCCCCCGGAAUCUGGCCGGCGUCCUGCCUGCCAUUGUCACAGCCUGUCCCUACACGCUCUGGACCCUGUCUUUGGCUCCGGAGGGACUCUGUCUGCGGAGCCCUUCCCCGGGGUGGAGCGUGAGCACGCCCCGGGCGCCCCCAGCCUGUCCUGUUUGCCUGCACCAGCGCUUCCCCCACGCCUGCACGGACCGGGAACAGCAUGGGUGCUGAGUGAACAGACGCGUUCUGCCUGCCUCCCGGGAUGCCGCCCUGUGGUCGGAGGCCGGGCCCACCUUCCCAGGGCACAUUCCAGGUUACAGAACGGGCAUCGCCUCUGGGCUCCGAGUCCUGCCCCAGUGCUUUCUCUUCCGUCCCACCAAACCCGUGUAUCUGAGCAGCACCACGCUCGGGUUUGGUGAGAGGCCACGGCGGGGAAGGCUUUGAACGCUCAGACUUCGUACUUGGCUGGUGGCCAAUUACUUCCAAUGCUUCGGGAACAAGGCAGGGUCAGGAGUAAGACCGUGGCAUGGGAUUUAGCCAGGGGAGAGUCACGUGACCGGUGGCCUUGGAGGAAAGCGGGGGCCAGAGGCCGUGGCAGGGACUCCCUACCGAAACUGGAAUUUCCUGGGGGAGUUUCACCCACGAACUCCUGGGUCCUACUCCCAGAGAUUGUGAUUAUUGCUCUGGGGGGGUGCCCUGGGCUCUGGAAGUUUAAAGAAAUACUCAGAGUUUUAACGGGUCGUCAGGUCUGAGAACCACCGGGCCAUGGACGAAGUGGAGGUCGUGCGUGUGGACCGCUCUUUCCAAAAGCCUGGCGGUGAAGGGACACAGGCACAGAAGCCUGAGGGCCAGGAGGGUGCCGGGAAGGUGAGGGUUGGUUUGUUUGUUUGUUUACAAGGUGGGGAAACUUAGAAAUCUUUGUCGGCUAAAGGAAAGACUCGAGGGCAUGGUAGAGAUGAAACCUGAUAGUGUGAGAAGUUUCUAGAAUAAUCCUGGAGGGGACGGUCAGUGGCAGUAGUGGGGGGAUGUGUCUUUUGACGAGAAAAUACCUAUUCUUUGUACUGUAGUCUGCUUAGAAUGACCUCUCGUUCCUUCCAAGCCCAGCUCAGAGCAGCUGUCUACCGCCAACCCCACACGGGAGCGAAUUAUUCUGUAUUCUUGGAGCACUUUCUACAUUUCUCCUGUCAUGGUUAUCAUGAGGGUUAUAUAACAUCCGCAA
Molecule: long non-coding RNA, 4667 nt
Organism: Neogale vison (American mink)
Lineage: Eukaryota; Metazoa; Chordata; Mammalia; Carnivora; Mustelidae
Exons: 4
Source: RefSeq, a predicted model, not a curated record